AGUGAACGCUGGCGGUAGGCCUAACACAUGCAAGUCGAACGGCAGCACAGUAAGAGCUUGCUCUUACGGGUGGCGAGUGGCGGACGGGUGAGGAAUACAUCGGAAUCUACUUUUUCGUGGGGGAUAACGUAGGGAAACUUACGCUAAUACCGCAUACGACCUACGGGUGAAAGCAGGGGAUCUUCGGACCUUGCGCGAUUGAAUGAGCCGAUGUCGGAUUAGCUAGUUGGCGGGGUAAAGGCCCACCAAGGCGACGAUCCGUAGCUGGUCUGAGAGGAUGAUCAGCCACACUGGAACUGAGACACGGUCCAGACUCCUACGGGAGGCAGCAGUGGGGAAUAUUGGACAAUGGGCGCAAGCCUUAUCCAGCCAUACCGCGUGAGUUAAGAAGGCCUUCGGGUUGUAAAGCCCUUUUGUUGGGAAAGAAAAGCAUCAGGUUAAUACCCCGCUGUUCUGACGGUACCCAAAGAAUAAGCACCGGCUAACUUCGUG
Molecule: ribosomal RNA, 492 nt
Filed under: uncultured bacterium
Lineage: Bacteria
Description: partial 16S ribosomal RNA
Rfam family: Bacterial small subunit ribosomal RNA
Source: RNAcentral